AGUCAGCAUAGAAUUAAACCAACAAUAUUUUUUAUUUUUCAAAACAAUCAUCAACAUGAACCUUUGCCAGAUUGUAGAUAUGUGCUCCUAUCAAGUUCUUCAAGACAAUUUGUGUACAGGAACAUUCAUAAUCAGAAGUUUGAUGGAGCCUGGAUUAGAAAGAAGGACAAAAUUAUGUUUAAAGGAAAAUCAGAGGACAUUUUAGAUGCAUUU
Molecule: long non-coding RNA, 213 nt
Organism: Eurytemora carolleeae
Lineage: Eukaryota; Metazoa; Arthropoda; Copepoda; Calanoida; Temoridae
Exons: 3
Source: RefSeq, a predicted model, not a curated record